UAAUAUCAAAAGAAUUAUUUCAUCUAAAACCCUACAAAAAGUUGGACCACAAAGUAAACCAGACAAGAGAGGAGAGGUGAUCUACAUGUCUUUGCUGAGAACGUGACCUGGCAUUAGAAGUCCGAAGAUUCCAGAAAGCAUGGCAACAGUAGAAUCUCAGAAAAUUCAAUUCAUGGGCAAAAAUGCUAGCUGUGCCUGUCAAAGAUACUGGUGCACAGGAGAGGCAAGGAUGGGGCAUGGGGGUGACUGAAGCACUCAAUUAAACUGCUUGCUGGACAACAGAGGAAAUGGUUCCCAGUGGAUUGCAGGCCACUGGAAGAAAUAGUAAGACACAACUUCAUAGCUGUUUUAGACCUUGGCAGCAGAAAUAAACCUGGAGCAGAGGAGAACAGAAAUGUGUAAGCCUGACAAAACUACUUUAAUCCCCCCAGAAAAGAUAUAAAAUAAAGAUAAACUGAAGAUGCAUAUUUCUCAUCAUUAAGAAAUUCCUGCAUGGCUGAUUGCAACUUGAAGUAUCAUGAAACAAUGGCAGAUGAAUCCCACCAAAACUGUAUGAAGCUAUGAAGUUCCCAGAAAUAUCAAGUAAAAAUGUAAUUUUUAUCUGAA
Long non-coding RNA from Pongo pygmaeus (Bornean orangutan), 606 nucleotides. RefSeq lists it as uncharacterized. NCBI's taxonomy places the organism in Eukaryota, Metazoa, Chordata, Mammalia, Primates, Hominidae. The record is from RefSeq and is a predicted model, not a curated record. The transcript is spliced from 2 exons.